AGUGAACGCUGGCGGCGUGCUUAACACAUGCAAGUCGAACGAGAACGGAAUUUAGCUUGCUAUAUUUGUCAGCUAAGUGGCGCACGGGUGAGUAAUGUAUAGAUAACCUGCCCUUAAGAAAGGAAUAACAGUUGGAAACGACUGCUAAUGCCCUAUAUGCCUUUAAUACAUAAGUAUGCAAGGGAAACGCUUUAGUGCUUAAGGAUGGGUCUGUAUGGUAUCAGCUUGUUGGUGAGGUAAUGGCUCACCAAGGCUAUGACGCAUAAUGGGUUUGAGAGGAUGAGCAGUCACACGGAAACUGAGACACGGUCCAGACUCCUAGGGGAGGCAGCAGUGGGGAAUAUUGCACAAUGGACGAAAGUCUGAUGAAGCAACGCCGCGUGGAGGAUGACACAUUUCGGUGCGUAAACUCCUUUUAUAUAGGAAGAUAAUGACGGUACUAUAUGAAUAAGCACCGGCUAACUACGUGCCAGCCGCCGCCGUAA
This 485-nucleotide ribosomal RNA is filed under the name uncultured bacterium. RNAcentral's name for it is "partial 16S ribosomal RNA". It matches the Rfam family "Bacterial small subunit ribosomal RNA", at positions 29 to 523 of the family's 1533-position model. The record is from RNAcentral.